GACGAACGCUGGCGGCGUGCUUAACACAUGCAAGUCGAACGGAAAGGCCCUGCGUUUGUGGGGUUCUCGAGUGGCGAACGGGUGAGUAACACGUGAGUAACCUGCCCUUGACUUUGGGAUAGCUUCAGGAAACUGGGGCUACUACAGGAUAGGAUCUCCUGCUGCGUGGUGGGGGUUGGAAAGUUGCGGCGGUUGGGGAUGGACUCGCGGGUUAUGAGCUUGUUGGUGGGGUAGUGGAUUACCAAGGCUUUGACGGGUAGCUGGCCUGAGAGGGUGACAGGCCACAUUGGGACUGAGAUACGGCACAGACUCCUACGGGAGGCAGCAGUGGGGAAUAUUGCACCAUGGGCGGAAGGCUGAUGCAGCAACGCCGCGUGCGGGAUGACGGCUUUCGGGUUGUAAACCGCUUUCGCCUGUGACGAAGCGUGAGCGACGGUAAUGGGUAAAGAAGCACCGGCUAACUACGUG
Molecule: ribosomal RNA, 468 nt
Filed under: uncultured bacterium
Lineage: Bacteria
Description: partial 16S ribosomal RNA
Rfam family: Bacterial small subunit ribosomal RNA
Source: RNAcentral